Non-coding RNA from Carassius auratus (goldfish), 573 nucleotides. The record is from the annotation of a RefSeq genome assembly. Lineage: Eukaryota; Metazoa; Chordata; Actinopteri; Cypriniformes; Cyprinidae.
UGUGAGUGUGUUUGCAUAUUGAUCAGAUGCUUCAGUGCUCUGAGAGUGUUUAUAGUGCUGUGAGUUUAACACUUCAUCACUGACACACACAACAAUCUUCAUCAACAUGACCUUCAUCAUCAUCUUCAUCUGGACUCUUUCAUACUGCUUUAUACUACAAGGGUGUAAAGCUCAGAUCACAGUCACUCAGACUCCAGUGGAACCUGUCACACCAGGAGAAAAUGUUGUGAUGAGCUGUAAGUUUAGUUCUUCUCCAGUCUGCAGCCCACCCUGUGUGUCCUGGUACUUACAGAAACCUGGAGAAGCUCCUAAACUCCUGAUUUAUGGAACAAGCACGCUCCAGUCAGGAACUCCAUCUAGAUUCAGUGGCAGUGGAUCUUACAGUGAUUUCACUCUGACCAUCAGUGGAGUCCAGACUGAAGAUGCUGGACAUUAUUACUGUCUGAGUUUUCAUUGCAGAACAAAUUCUUAUGGUGGUUGUGCGGGUGAUCGUGUGUUCACACAGUGAUUGUGAGUGGUACAAAAACCUGUGUCAGUCAGAGUCACAGUGACUGAACUGAUGCUGCAGCUGAU